This is a non-coding RNA of Theobroma cacao (cacao), 155 nucleotides long. NCBI's taxonomy places the organism in Eukaryota, Viridiplantae, Streptophyta, Magnoliopsida, Malvales, Malvaceae. The record is from RefSeq and is a predicted model, not a curated record.
AAAAAGUGAAGAAAUCAAGGAAACAAGCUAGGUGGUGAGACGUCCGGAAAAGGCAAAGGAAUUACGCCUGAGGACUAUUAGUCAGAGUUCACCCGGAAUCCGGAUUUUCGACACCUAUCAGGUGACUGUUGGACCCUAGAUCGAGGAGUCCCCGU